RNAcentral lists this ribosomal RNA (148 nucleotides) under Salmonella enterica subsp. enterica serovar Altona. RNAcentral's name for it is "partial 16S ribosomal RNA". It matches the Rfam family "Bacterial small subunit ribosomal RNA", at positions 1 to 140 of the family's 1533-position model. The record is from RNAcentral. Lineage: Bacteria; Pseudomonadati; Pseudomonadota; Gammaproteobacteria; Enterobacterales; Enterobacteriaceae.
UUAAAUUGAAGAGUUUGAUCAUGGCUCAGAUUGAACGCUGGCGGCAGGCCUAACACAUGCAAGUCGAACGGUAACAGGAAGUAGCUUGCUGCUUCGCUGACGAGUGGCGGACGGGUGAGUAAUGUCUGGGAAACUGCCUGAUGGAGGG